RNAcentral lists this unclassified non-coding RNA (1232 nucleotides) under Hevea brasiliensis (rubber tree). The record is from RNAcentral. Lineage: Eukaryota; Viridiplantae; Streptophyta; Magnoliopsida; Malpighiales; Euphorbiaceae.
AAGAACAUAGCAUUGCAGUAUUCUUCCAUUCACUGGCGUGUACUUAUUUUAGCAUGUACAAAUUUCUGCGAGUAUAAUUACUAACAUGGGUGAAAAAAUAGCAUAGGACAAGUUCAUAUCAUAACAAACCCAGAAAAGCAAUCUGAUAGAUUGCUAUUCAUUACAAAAAAAAAUCAUCACCCGCCCUUGUUUCAUAUGUUGUGCCUUCAUAUAUCACAUCAAAAGGUAAAAAGAAAUAACAAAACGAGAAAUUCACAUAUUUCCCUUAAUCAGCACUUGGUAGAGGCAGUCCUCAACAGGGGUCUAGGUGGCUCUUUCAAUUUAUCAAUACCAUCUUGAGUAGUGCCAUCUGUAAUAAGUCUCUUGCUGUUUACUUCUGGUAAGGCAUCCACAAGUUCUUUAAGGCCCAUCAGAGUAGGUGUAGAGUUGCCCACAAUUUUAAGUUGUUCCUGCAGUGUCUCAGGCAUCUUCACCGUUUUUCCAUUGAUAAAAUUACACAGGUACAUAACACCAGCAUUUGCAAGGUCCUGCUUGCCUUCCAAAGAAAGUAACUUGCCAUCCAGACCAGAAACCAUCCUGUUUAGUUGAUCCAGAUCAAAACCAAUCUGGGACAGAUCGCCAUGCACAUCAUUAACCUCACUCCUAAUCAGUUUUGACAUCUCCAUUUGCUCAUCCAAUUUUCCAUCCACAUUCUCAAUUCGCUGCGUUAAGUGCCUCUUUGUAGCAGCAAGGGCCUCUGAGACAUUAUCAAGAUGUUUUGUCAGAUUUGAGACAGCAGUUGCCAUAUUCUUUUUUGUUACAUACAUAAGGUCAGAGAAUGACAAACCCUUCCACCACAUGUAUCCAUAACCCAAGGCACCUGCUGCAGCGGCUGGCAUUACCAGAGAUGUCCAGUUACCACUAGAACUUCCAUUAAGAACAGUAAUUGAUCGUGCCGAAGCCAAUUGCCGAACCUCCAUUGCCAAUCUACGAACCUGUGCAGCAAUGACAUCCGAGUCUCCACCAUCUGAUUCCCCCGUCUUUUCAUAACUUUUGACCAAAUUCUGAAGCUCGCCUAUCACAUCCGAUAAUUUUCCGUUUUUAAACAACAAAGUACCAGUAUACCCUGCUCCGACGAUGAACACGAUCUUUGUUAAGCCUACUCCAGCGUGCAUAGCCAUGGUCGGCGUUAGUCCGGUGAACAACAAACCCUAGAUUUUUUUGGUUUCCCGGCGAGGGAUAUUGGAGUUGAA